This 255-nucleotide long non-coding RNA is filed under the name Capsella rubella. RNAcentral describes it as "long non-coding RNA (CRUB_LNC003619)". The record is from RNAcentral. Lineage: Eukaryota; Viridiplantae; Streptophyta; Magnoliopsida; Brassicales; Brassicaceae.
UUUAUUAGCUUUAUUUUGUGGUCUACGUUUGACAUUCUUUCACAAGAAGAACUUUUUUUUUUUUUUGUAAACGAUAGAGAAUAGAAUAAUAAUUAACAUUUGGUGGUCGUGUGCUCUCUACUUCAAAGUUCAAACAAGCUGUCUUGGGUCGUGGUGCAUGUGCCUCGCGCUGAGUCACUCAUCGUAAUCUUAAAACCCUGAGGAUGCAAAAUCUAAUGGUACACGUAAAUCACAACUUCUCUUACAAUUUAUAAG